UACGGGGGGGGCAAGCGUUGUUCGGAAUUACUGGGCGUAAAGGGCUCGUAGGCGGCCAACUAAGUCGGACGUGAAAUCCCCAGGCUCAACCUGGGAACUGCGUCCGAUACUGGAUGGCUUGAAUCCGGGAGAGGGAUGUGGAAUUCCAGGUGUAGCGGUGAAAUGCGUAGAUAUCAGGAGGAAUACCGGUGGCGAAAGCGACUCUCUGGACGGCAACUGACGCUGAGGCACGAAAGCGUGGGGAGCGAACAGG
Molecule: ribosomal RNA, 253 nt
Filed under: uncultured bacterium
Lineage: Bacteria
Description: partial 16S ribosomal RNA
Rfam family: Bacterial small subunit ribosomal RNA
Source: RNAcentral